UACGAGGGGGGCGAGCGUUGUUCGGAAUUAUUGGGCGUAAAGGGUGCGUAGGCGGUUUGGUAAGUCUUGUGUGAAAUCUACAGGCUCAACUUGUAGUCUGCACGAGAAACUGCCGGGCUUGAGUAUGGGAGAGGUGAGUGGAAUUCCUGGUGUAGCGGUGAAAUGCGUAGAUAUCAGGAGGAACACCUGUGGCGAAAGCGGCUCACUGGACCAUAACUGACGCUGAUGCACGAAAGCUGGGGGGAGCAAACAGG
RNAcentral lists this ribosomal RNA (254 nucleotides) under uncultured bacterium. RNAcentral's name for it is "partial 16S ribosomal RNA". It matches the Rfam family "Bacterial small subunit ribosomal RNA", at positions 524 to 776 of the family's 1533-position model. The record is from RNAcentral.